Molecule: ribosomal RNA, 478 nt
Filed under: uncultured bacterium
Lineage: Bacteria
Description: partial 16S ribosomal RNA
Rfam family: Bacterial small subunit ribosomal RNA
Source: RNAcentral
AUUGAACGCUGACAGAAUGCUUAACACAUGCAAGUCUACCAAGAAUCACUUCGGUGAGGAAUGGUGGCGGACGGGUGAGUAACGCGUAAAUAAUCUGCCCUUUAGACUGGGCUAUCCUUUGGAAACGAAGGUUAAUACCGGAUAUUAUGAGAUGGACGCAUGUUCAACUUAUGAAAGCUAAAUGCACUAGAGGAGGAGUUUGCGUCCCAUUAGCUAGUUGGUGAGGUAAAGGCUCACCAAGGCCACGAUGGGUAGCCGGCCUGAGAGGGUGAACGGCCACAAGGGAACUGAGACACGGUCCUUACUCCUACGGGAGGCAGCAGUGGGGAAUAUUGGACAAUGGACCAAAAGUCUGAUCCAGCAAUUCUGUGUGCACGAUGAAGGUCUUCGGAUUGUAAAGUGCUUUCAGUAGGGAAGAAAAAAAUGACGGUACCUACAGAAGAAGCGACGGCUAAAUAUGUGCCAGCAGCCGCCGUAA